Molecule: long non-coding RNA, 635 nt
Organism: Physella acuta
Lineage: Eukaryota; Metazoa; Mollusca; Gastropoda; Physidae
Source: RefSeq, a predicted model, not a curated record
UGAUUACAAUGUUGGCGUUUAGUAAUUAUUUACAAUGUAAUCCGAGAUGUCCAGAAAAACACAUUUUUAGACGAAAAUGUAAGUCUAGGAAAAAAAUCCGAGCAAACAUUCUUUAGAAAAAAGAAGAAAUUAAAAAAUGACAUCCAAAUAAUCAUAAUUUUCAUCCUCCGGUGAAACGGAAUUUUCAAAAACAAAUUAAAUUAUAAUUAUUGUUUCACGAACUUGGAAGAUGAAGUAGAGUUCCCUUAUUUCUUUUGGCUCGGCAUUUGAAAUGGUUAUGUCAUCAUCUCCCUGCAUUUGGGCUUUAAUUAAAAGGAACUGGAAUAUUUGAAUCUAGAUGAAAUUCAACAUUGCUGUUCAGGUAUUAAUUUGUAAAAUUAAAGAUUGAUCAAAUGCUUGGCUACAAAACGUCUAAGCAGUAUCAGAGAGCUUUUGGUUGAUGAAGUGCGAUGGAUCAAGUGACGCCUUAGUUCUUUAUGUGCAUGAAGUGCCGUCUCAAUUAUUGCGGCAAUUCAUGAGAUAGUGGCGCUUCUAUUACUGUGAAUCAAGUAGUGCUUCUAUUUUUGUGGUGAAACAAUAGUACCUCUAUGUUUGUGAUGGAUCAAGCAGUUCUCCUACGUUUUUAAAGCAUCAGU